GCCCCCAUCGUCUAGCGGCCUAGGACACAGCCCUUUCAAGGCUGCGGCAGGGGUCCGAAUCCCCUUGGGGGCA
Molecule: transfer RNA, 73 nt
Filed under: bacterium CG2_30_54_10
Lineage: Bacteria
Description: tRNA-Glu
Rfam family: tRNA
About the family: Transfer RNA (tRNA) molecules are approximately 80 nucleotides in length. Their secondary structure includes four short double-helical elements and three loops (D, anti-codon, and T loops).
Source: RNAcentral